Molecule: transfer RNA, 81 nt
Filed under: Labilithrix sp.
Lineage: Bacteria; Pseudomonadati; Myxococcota; Polyangiales; Labilitrichaceae
Description: tRNA-Leu
Rfam family: tRNA
About the family: Transfer RNA (tRNA) molecules are approximately 80 nucleotides in length. Their secondary structure includes four short double-helical elements and three loops (D, anti-codon, and T loops).
Source: RNAcentral
GCCGAAGUGGCGGAAUGGUAGACGCAGCGGAUUCAAAAUCCGCCGCCGCAAGGCGUGAGGGUUCGAGUCCCUCCUUCGGUA